This 230-nucleotide ribosomal RNA is filed under the name uncultured bacterium. Its description in RNAcentral is "partial 16S ribosomal RNA". It matches the Rfam family "Bacterial small subunit ribosomal RNA", at positions 335 to 562 of the family's 1533-position model. The record is from RNAcentral.
AACCUACGGGGCGCAGCAGUGAGGAAUAUUGGUCAAUGGCCGAGAGGCUGAACCAGCCAAGUCGCGUGAGGGAAGACGGCCCUACGGGUUGUAAACCUCUUUUGCCGGGGAGCAACGGGGUCCUUGCGAGGUCCCAAUGAGAGUACCCGGAGAAAAAGCAUCGGCUAACUCCGUGCCAGCAGCCGCGGUAAUACGGAGGAUGCGAGCGUUAUCCGGAUUUAUUGGGUUUA